RNAcentral lists this ribosomal RNA (495 nucleotides) under uncultured bacterium. RNAcentral's name for it is "partial 16S ribosomal RNA". It matches the Rfam family "Bacterial small subunit ribosomal RNA", at positions 28 to 507 of the family's 1533-position model. The record is from RNAcentral.
GACGAACGCUGGCGGCGUGCCUAAUACAUGCAAGUAGAACGCUGAAGGAGGAGCUUGCUUCUCUGGAUGAGUUGCGAACGGGUGAGUAACGCGUAGGUAACCUGCCUGGUAGCGGGGGAUAACUAUUGGAAACGAUAGCUAAUACCGCAUAAUAGUAGAUGUUGCAUGACAUUUGCUUAAAAGGUGCAAUUGCAUCACUACCAGAUGGACCUGCGUUGUAUUAGCUAGUUGGUGGGGUAACGGCUCACCAAGGCGACGAUACAUAGCCGACCUGAGAGGGUGAUCGGCCACACUGGGACUGAGACACGGCCCAGACCCCUACGGGAGGCAGCAGUAGGGAAUCUUCGGCAAUGGACGGAAGUCUGACCGAGCAACGCCGCGGGAGUGAAGAAGGGUUUCGGAUCGGAAAGCUCGGUUGUAAGAGAAGAACGAGUGUGAGAGUGGAAAGUUCACACUGUGACGGUAUCUUACCAGAAAGGGACGGCUAACUACGUG